UAAAGGUAUUCCGGUAGACGAUGGGGAUGCGUUCCAUUAGAUAGUAGGCGGGGUAACGGCCCACCUAGUCUUCGAUGGAUAGGGGUUCUGAGAGGAAGGUCCCCCACAUUGGAACUGAGACACGGUCCAAACUCCUACGGGAGGCAGCAGUGAGGAAUAUUGGUCAAUGGGCGCAGGCCUGAACCAGCCAAGUAGCGUGAAGGAUGACUGCCCUAUGGGUUGUAAACUUCUUUUAUAAAGGAAUAAAGUCGGGUAUGGAUACCCGUUUGCAUGUACUUUAUGAAUAAGGAUCGGCUAACUCCGUGCCAGCAGCCGCGGUAAUACGGAGGAUCCGAGCGUUAUCCGGAUUUAUUGGGUUUAAAGGGAGCGUAGAUGGAUGUUUAAGUCAGUUGUGAAAGUUUGCGCCUCAACCGUAAAAUUGCAGUUGAUACUGGAUAUCUUGAGUGCAGUUGAGGCAGGCGGAAUUCGUGGUGUAGCGGUGAAAUGCUUAGAUAUCACGAAGAACUUCGAUUGCGAAGGCAGCCUGCUAAGCUGCAACUGACAUUGAGGCUCGAAAGUGUGGGUAUCAAACAGGAUUAGAUACCCUGGUAGUCCACACGGUAAACGAUGAAUACUCGCUGUUUGCGAUAUAC
RNAcentral lists this ribosomal RNA (632 nucleotides) under uncultured bacterium. RNAcentral's name for it is "bacterial SSU rRNA". It matches the Rfam family "Bacterial small subunit ribosomal RNA", at positions 202 to 834 of the family's 1533-position model. The record is from RNAcentral.